Carassius carassius (crucian carp) is the source of this 332-nucleotide long non-coding RNA. RefSeq lists it as uncharacterized. NCBI's taxonomy places the organism in Eukaryota, Metazoa, Chordata, Actinopteri, Cypriniformes, Cyprinidae. The transcript is spliced from 3 exons. The record is from RefSeq and is a predicted model, not a curated record.
UACCUGACUCGUUGGCAGCUUGGGCAUCUAUAAACCGUAGCACAAUAAUAAAAACAGAUCUCGGGGUAUUAUCUUUAACAGAGUCAUCAAGGAUCCAGCUUAUUAUUGGCACAUUGGUAAGGAAUUGUUCAUCUGCUACAUUGCAAGGCCACUUCUGGACAGUACAGAAAGUGCACAAGUGGGAGAGAGUGGAGGGGAAGGCAUCAGAAAGGACCUAGAGCUGGGACUCUUUCAAGGAUCACCCGAAGCACAACCACGCUACAGUAUAUGAACAAGGCUGUUGGUUCUAACAUUUUAGUGCCCCCCUUGUUAGAAAUCCCAUUCUGUGUUCC